Molecule: ribosomal RNA, 429 nt
Filed under: Chloroflexota bacterium
Lineage: Bacteria; Bacillati; Chloroflexota
Description: Chloroflexi bacterium partial 16S ribosomal RNA
Rfam family: Bacterial small subunit ribosomal RNA
Source: RNAcentral
UGGGGAAUAUUGCACAAUGGGCGCAAGCCUGAUGCAGCCAUGCCGCGUGUAUGAAGAAGGCCUUCGGGUUGUAAAGUACUUUCAGCGGGGAGGAAGGGAGUAAAGUUAAUACCUUUGCUCAUUGACGUUACCCGCAGAAGAAGCACCGGCUAACCCCGUGCCAGCAGCCGCGGUAAUACGGCGGGUGCAAGCGCUAAUCGGAAUUACUGGGCGUAAAGCGCACGCAGGCGGUUUGUUAAGUCAGAUGUGAAAUCCCCGGGCUCAACCUGGGGACUGCAUCUGAUACUGGCAAGCUUGAGUCUCGUAGAGGGGGGUAGAAUUCCAGGUGUAGCGGUGAAAUGCGUAGAGAUCUGGAGGAAUACCGGUGGCGAAGGCGGCCCCCUGGACGAAGACUGACGCUCAGGUGCGAAAGCGUGAGGAGCAAACAGG